RNAcentral lists this ribosomal RNA (483 nucleotides) under uncultured bacterium. Its description in RNAcentral is "partial 16S ribosomal RNA". It matches the Rfam family "Bacterial small subunit ribosomal RNA", at positions 28 to 507 of the family's 1533-position model. The record is from RNAcentral.
GACGAACGCUGGCGGCGUGCUUAACACAUGCAAGUCGAACGCUGAAGCUCAGCUUUUGUUGGGUGGAUGAGUGGCGAACGGGUGAGUAACACGUGAGUAACCUGCCUCCUUCUUUGGGAUAACGCCCGGAAACGGGUGCUAAUACUGGAUAUUCACUGGUCUUCGCAUGGGGGUUGGUGGAAAGGGUUUUUCUGGUGGGGGAUGGGCUCGCGGCCUAUCAGCUUGUUGGUGGGGUGAUGGCCUACCAAGGCUUUGACGGGUAGCCGGCCUGAGAGGGUGACCGGUCACAUUGGGACUGAGAUACGGCCCAGACUCCUACGGGAGGCAGCAGUGGGGGCUAUUGCCCCCAGGGCGCCCGCGUGCUGCAGCGACGCCGCGUGAGGGAUGGAGGCCUUCGGGUUGUGAACCUCUUUCGCUCAUGGUCAAGCCGCAACACUGGUUGUGGUGAGGGUAGUGGGUGAAGAAGCGCCGGCUCCCUACGUG